AUUGAACGCUGGCGGCAUGCCUUACACAUGCAAGUCGAACGGCAGCACGGGUGCUUGCACCUGGUGGCGAGUGGCGAACGGGUGAGUAAUACAUCGGAACAUGUCCUGUAGUGGGGGAUAGCCCGGCGAAAGCCGGAUUAAUACCGCAUACGAUCUACGGAUGAAAGCGGGGGACCUUCGGGCCUCGCGCUAUCGGGUUGGCCGAUGGCUGAUUAGCUAGUUGGUGGGGUAAAGGCCUACCAAGGCGACGAUCAGUAGCUGGUCUGAGAGGACGACCAGCCACACUGGGACUGAGACACAGCCCAGACUCCUACGGGAGGCAGCAGUGGGGAAUUUUGGACAAUGGGCGAAAGCCUGAUCCAGCAAUGCCGCGUGUGUGAAGAAGGCCUUCGGGUUGUAAAGCACUUUUGUCCGGAAAGAAAUCCUUGGCCCUAAUACGGUCGGGGGAUGACGGUACCGGAAGAAUAAGCACCGGCUAACUACGUG
Molecule: ribosomal RNA, 486 nt
Filed under: uncultured bacterium
Lineage: Bacteria
Description: partial 16S ribosomal RNA
Rfam family: Bacterial small subunit ribosomal RNA
Source: RNAcentral